UACAGAGGUCUCAAGCGUUGUUCGGAAUCACUGGGCGUAAAGCGUGCGUAGGCUGUUUCGUAAGUCGUGUGUGAAAGGCGCGGGCUCAACCCGCGGACGGCACAUGAUACUGCGAGACUAGAGUAGUGGAGGGGGAACCGGAAUUCUCGGUGUAGCAGUGAAAUGCGUAGAUAUCGAGAGGAACACUCGUGGCGAAGGCGGGUUCCUGGACAUUAACUGACGCUGAGGCACGAAGGCCAGGGGAGCGAAAGGG
Molecule: ribosomal RNA, 253 nt
Filed under: uncultured bacterium
Lineage: Bacteria
Description: partial 16S ribosomal RNA
Rfam family: Bacterial small subunit ribosomal RNA
Source: RNAcentral